Molecule: ribosomal RNA, 253 nt
Filed under: uncultured bacterium
Lineage: Bacteria
Description: partial 16S ribosomal RNA
Rfam family: Bacterial small subunit ribosomal RNA
Source: RNAcentral
CACGUAGGGCGCAAGCGUUGUCCGGAAUUAUUGGGCGUAAAGAGCUCGUAGGCGGUCUGUUACGUCUGCUGUGAAAACCCGGGGCUUAACCCUGGGCUUGCAGUGGAUACGGGCAGACUGGAGGUAUGCAGGGGAGAACGGAAUUCCUGGUGUAGCGGUGAAAUGCGCAGAUAUCAGGAGGAACACCGGUGGCGAAGGCGGUUCUCUGGGCAUGUCCUGACGCUGAGGAGCGAAAGUGUGGGGAGCGAACAGG